UCUGACUNGAGUGCAGAAGGGGAGAGUGGAAUUCCAUGUGUAGCGGUGAAAUGCGUAGAUAUAUGGAGGAACACCAGUGGCGAAAGCGGCUCUCUGGUCUGUCACUGACGCUGAGGCUCGAAAGCGUGGGUAGCGAACAGGAUUAGAUACCCUGGUAGUCCACGCCGUAAACGAUGAGUGCUAGGUGUUAGGCCCUUUCCGGGGCUUAGUGCCGGAGCUAACGCAAUAAGCACUCCGCCUGGGGAGUACGACCGCAAGGUUGAAACUCAAAGGAAUUGACGGGGGCCCGCACAAGCGGUGGAGCAUGUGGUUUAAUUCGAAGCAACGCGAAGAACCUUACCAGGUCUUGACAUCCCGAUGCUAUUCUUAGAGAUAGGAAGUUACUUCGGUACAUCGGAGACAGGUGGUGCAUGGUUGUCGUCAGCUCGUGUCGUGAGAUGUUGGGUUAAGUCCCGCAACGAGCGCAACCCUUAUUGUUAGUUGCCAUCAUUAAGUUGGGCACUCUAGCGAGACUGCCGGUAAUAAACCGGAGGAAGGUGGGGAUGACGUCAAAUCAUCAUGCCCCUUAUGACCUGGGCUACACACGUGCUACAAUGGUCGGUACAACGAGUUGCGAGCCGGUGACGGCAAGCUAAUCUCUGAAAGCCGAUCUCAGUUCGGAUUGGAGGCUGCAACUCGCCUCCAUGAAGUCGGAAUCGCUAGUAAUCGCGGAUCAGCACGCCGCGGUGAAUACGUUCCCGGGCCUUGUACAC
This 752-nucleotide ribosomal RNA is filed under the name uncultured bacterium. RNAcentral's name for it is "bacterial SSU rRNA". It matches the Rfam family "Bacterial small subunit ribosomal RNA", at positions 636 to 1388 of the family's 1533-position model. The record is from RNAcentral.